GAAGGCGAAGACGAUUAACGUGAGCACUGUAACACUGUCGGAAUACAUGAGAGGGAAGCAUAGGGAUAUACAAGAACAAGUUUAUGCUUACUUCAAUUCAAGACCUGAACUUCAGACGCCAAUUGAGAUAUCAAAAGAUGAACACAGAGAAUUGUGCAUGAAACAGCUUGUGGGGUUGGUAAGAGAAGGUGGGAUAAGGCCGUUUAGGUAUGUGGCUGAAGAUCCAGCUAAGUAUUUUGCUAUUGUUGAAGCUGUUGGAUGAACACAGAGAAUUGUGCAUGAAACAACUUGUGGGGUUGGUAAGAGAAGGUGGGAUAAGGCCGUUUAGGUAUGUGGCUGAAGAUCCGGCUAAGUAUUUUGCUAUUGCUGAAGCUGUU
This 377-nucleotide long non-coding RNA is filed under the name Nicotiana benthamiana. RNAcentral's name for it is "long non-coding RNA (NBEN_LNC015660)". Lineage: Eukaryota; Viridiplantae; Streptophyta; Magnoliopsida; Solanales; Solanaceae. The record is from RNAcentral.